AACGCACAUUGCGCCCCCUGGCAUUCCGGGGGGCAUGCCUGUCCGAGCGUCAUUUCUGCCCUCAAGCACGGCUUGUGUGUUGGGUGCGGUCCCCCCGGGGACCUGCCCGAAAGGCAGCGGCGACGUCCGUCCGGUCCUCGAGCGUAUGGGGCUUUGUCACUCGCUCGGGAAGGACCUGCGGGGGUUGGUCACCACCAUAUUUUACCACGGUUGACCUCGGAUCAGGUAGGAGUUACCCGCUGAACUUAA
This 249-nucleotide unclassified non-coding RNA is filed under the name uncultured Talaromyces. RNAcentral's name for it is "sequence contains ITS2". The record is from RNAcentral. Lineage: Eukaryota; Fungi; Ascomycota; Eurotiomycetes; Eurotiales; Trichocomaceae.